AGCUCUUUUUUUUUUUUUUUUUAUUAUUUUACUUAUAUACACCACACGGGCAUCCAUAUAUAUGUAAUAUACGCACAUAUAUGCAUUUUUAAAUACGACGAAACAUAAAAAAAAACAUGACAGUAAAAAGUAAUGAUAAAAAUAACGAAGGAGAGAAGAGUAAAAUGAAAAAAAAUGAAGAGAAUAAGACUGAUCAAGAAUUAGCAAAUAAUAAUAACAUUAACGGUAACAAUAAUAACCAUAAUUCAAGUGACACAGAAUUGAUAAAUGCAAAUAACAAAAACAUUAACAAAUCAGUAGAUAAGGAAAAACCAAGUAAAAAAGAAAAGGACAAAGGGUAUGAUAAAACAACAGAAGAAAUAGUAAAAGAAAAUAAAAAUUCAUACAUUUCCCAAAUUAGUAAACCCUUAUUAAAAAAAAAAUAUUAUAAGCAUUUUUUAAAAAUUUUGGAUUAUAUCUAUUAUGCUAAACUAAACGUAAUACAAAUAAUAAAAACAAAUCAAAAUUUAGAAGAAACAAAAAAAAAAUUAUUAAGAAAAAAACUUAUCAUUAUUGGAUUAACACAAGUUGUUAAAGCUAUAAGAAAAGGUAUACAAGGUAUUGUCAUAUUAGCAAUAGAUGUCUUUCCUUUAGAUAUAAUAUGUCAUAUACCAAUAUUUUGUGAAGAACACAAUAUACCAUAUACAUUUGUAACUACCAAAAAUAAAUUAGCACGUUUAUGUAAAUUGAAAAGGUCUACUACAUGUGUACUUAUUUGUAGACCAGAUGAAAAAUUCACAGAAUAUGAAAGCACAAUUAAUCAAUAUAUUUCAAAAAAAAAAAUUAAUAACUAUUUAGGCUUGUUUGAAAAAUUCGAUCACGCCGUAAAAAAAAACCAUCCCUUUUUUCAGUAACAUAACAUGAUAGACAAAAGCAAGUGAAAAAUAUAGUCAAAAAAAAGUAUGUAUUGCGCAUAGAGCAUCAUAAACCUUACGUACGCAAAAUAUAAAUAUACAUAAAGACACUAUUAAAAAAAAAAAUAAUAAAACAAAAUAAUAAUAAUAAUAAUGAAUAAAA
This 1056-nucleotide long non-coding RNA is filed under the name Piliocolobus tephrosceles (Ugandan red Colobus). Its description in RNAcentral is "lncRNA (ENSPTEG00000005362.1)". Lineage: Eukaryota; Metazoa; Chordata; Mammalia; Primates; Cercopithecidae. The record is from RNAcentral.